UCCAAUUUUAACCAUUUGUCUUAUUUAGUUUUUUUAAUAUAAUUAAUGUUUUUAUUGUUAUUACAUGGUAAUACAUGAAUAUUACUUUAUGCAUAACUAUUUAUUUUUAAUUUAUUCAUAUAUUUUUUUAAUAAGAUGAGUGGUUAAAGUUGGAUAUGGAAAUCCAAAGAUGAACU
This 176-nucleotide microRNA precursor is filed under the name Leersia perrieri. Its description in RNAcentral is "MIR812 microRNA precursor family". It matches the Rfam family "MIR812 microRNA precursor family", at positions 27 to 201 of the family's 205-position model. Lineage: Eukaryota; Viridiplantae; Streptophyta; Magnoliopsida; Poales; Poaceae. The record is from Rfam by way of RNAcentral.